Molecule: long non-coding RNA, 810 nt
Filed under: Gallus gallus (chicken)
Lineage: Eukaryota; Metazoa; Chordata; Aves; Galliformes; Phasianidae
Source: RNAcentral
UGACUGCAAUCCGAUAUCUAUCUGCAGCAGCUGGGGCUCUGAAGCCCUGCCCAUGGCUGCAGCUGGAGGGUCCUGCAGAAUUAGCUGUGCGUAUGUGGGUGUGCCUUUGUGAACUAACAAUACCACCUGGCUCCAGGGAGGUGUUCCCCAAACAGGUCAGGUGCUUCAGGAGAGGCAAUUUGGCCACUGAACAUGUAGGAACUUGGGGAAGUCUUGCUUUCUUCAGACUCUGGAUAAGAGCACAGAACAGCAUAAAGGAGCUGCAGGAUCAGAGAAAGUGCAUUGAAUGCAGAAUCCUUUGGCAUGGGAAAAACCUCAGGAAGCACAAUACUGCAACCUCUGCAGCCGCUCUGACCUACUGGAAUUGAACUCUGAUCUUCUGCAUAAUAAAGAUGAGUACUUCUUAGUGAUGCAAAUUUAGGAAAGGAAGAAUGUCUGCUACUAGGAGCCUCUCUCUCCAGAAAACACAUUUCAACUAUAACGGUGUUACACAACUCUGAAUUUCGAGCCUAAACAAGAUUUCUCAGGCUCUACAACAAAUCUCUGAAUGGAAGAAGGAAUUAUUUCUGUGUAAAAAUGGAUAAAAUGUUGUUCCUGUUGCCCCGAUCAAGAGGAAAGGCGGAAAGAGAAGCCACAAAAAUUCCCCCAAGAGAUUGAAAUGUUUGACUACUCAAGCACUGCUGCCAUUGGAUUGCUUGACGUCUGAAUCCAGUCCUGGUACCAGCAAGAUGGAACAGAGGAAAUGUACCGCUGAUCCAGUGGUGUCUCAAAAGAGGAUUCCAGGGGUGAUCGUGGGACCUACAAAAAUGG